UAAUCUGAGGGUCCAGGGUUCAA
RNAcentral lists this non-coding RNA (23 nucleotides) under Xenopus tropicalis (tropical clawed frog). RNAcentral also lists the same sequence under 3 other names. Lineage: Eukaryota; Metazoa; Chordata; Amphibia; Anura; Pipidae. The record is from RNAcentral.